GGUGCCGUAGGCAAAUCGGUAAAGCCGUCGAUCUUUCAAGUCGAUGUUUGCGGGUUCAACUCCCGUCGGCACUGCCA
This 77-nucleotide transfer RNA is filed under the name Nodosilinea sp. LEGE 07088. RNAcentral describes it as "tRNA-Glu". It matches the Rfam family "tRNA". From Rfam's summary of the family: Transfer RNA (tRNA) molecules are approximately 80 nucleotides in length. Their secondary structure includes four short double-helical elements and three loops (D, anti-codon, and T loops). Further hydrogen bonds mediate the characteristic L-shaped molecular structure. tRNAs have two regions of fundamental functional importance: the anti-codon, which is responsible for specific mRNA codon recognition, and the 3' end, to which the tRNAs corresponding amino acid is attached (by aminoacyl-tRNA synthetases). tRNAs cope with the degeneracy of the genetic code in two manners: having more than one tRNA (with a specific anti-codon) for a particular amino acid; and 'wobble' base-pairing, i.e. permitting non-standard base-pairing at the 3rd anti-codon position. RNAcentral also lists the same sequence under 4 other names. The record is from RNAcentral. Lineage: Bacteria; Bacillati; Cyanobacteriota; Cyanophyceae; Nodosilineales; Nodosilineaceae.